Molecule: long non-coding RNA, 203 nt
Filed under: Elaeis guineensis (African oil palm)
Lineage: Eukaryota; Viridiplantae; Streptophyta; Magnoliopsida; Arecales; Arecaceae
Description: long non-coding RNA (EGUI_LNC047147)
Source: RNAcentral
ACUAGUAGAAGAUUUUUAGGUACAGUCAAAUAUUUGCAAAGUCGGUGUGUGAGUCAAAAUAGAUUUGACCCCUUCGAAUAAGUAGGAGUUAAUGCAUUGGUGUAUUUCAAUUUAGUAAACCUUAACCAAGGUAAUUCGUAUGAUGGAUUUGAAAGGUUGAAAUAUAAUAUGGUUGAUAAAUCUAAAUUUGACAGUUAAACUCC